UACGGGGGGGCAAGCGUUGUUCGGAAUUACUGGGCGUAAAGGGCUCGUAGGCGGCCAACUAAGUCAGACGUGAAAUCCCCAGUCUCAACCUGGGAACUGCGUCUGAUACUGGAUGGCUUGAAUCCGGGAGAGGGAUGCAGAAUUCCAGGUGUAGCGGUGAAAUGCGUAGAUAUCUGGAGGAAUACCGGUGGCGAAGGCGGCAUCCUGGACCGGCAUUGACGCUGAGGAGCGAAAGCCAGGGGAGCAAACGGG
This 252-nucleotide ribosomal RNA is filed under the name uncultured bacterium. RNAcentral's name for it is "partial 16S ribosomal RNA". It matches the Rfam family "Bacterial small subunit ribosomal RNA", at positions 524 to 776 of the family's 1533-position model. The record is from RNAcentral.